AACGAACGCUGGCGGCGCGUCUUAAGCAUGCAAGUCGGACGGCAAGGGCAGCAAUGCCCCUAGAGUGGCGGACUGGUGAGUAACACGUGGGUGACCUACCCUUAAGUUGGGGAUAACCAUUAGAAAUAGUGGAUAAUACCGAAUACGCUUGCUGUCACUGUGGUGAUGCAAGGAAAGGAGCUACGGCUCCGCUUGAGGAUGGGCCCGCGUCCCAUUAGCUAGUUGGUGAGGUAACGGCCCACCAAGGCGACGAUGGGUAGCCGGCCUGAGAGGGUGGACGGCCACACUGGGACUGAGACACGGCCCAGACUCCUACGGGAGGCAGCAGUAGGGAAUAUUGCGCAAUGGACGGAAGUCUGACGCAGCGACGCCGCGUGAGCGAUGAAGGUCUUCGGAUCGUAAAGCUCUGUCCUAAGGGACGAUAAUGACGGUACCUUAGGAGGAAGCCCCGGCUAACUACGUG
RNAcentral lists this ribosomal RNA (463 nucleotides) under uncultured bacterium. RNAcentral describes it as "bacterial SSU rRNA". It matches the Rfam family "Bacterial small subunit ribosomal RNA", at positions 29 to 507 of the family's 1533-position model. The record is from RNAcentral.